RNAcentral lists this long non-coding RNA (501 nucleotides) under Chinchilla lanigera (long-tailed chinchilla). Its description in RNAcentral is "lncRNA (ENSCLAG00000024077.1)". Lineage: Eukaryota; Metazoa; Chordata; Mammalia; Rodentia; Chinchillidae. The record is from RNAcentral.
CUGAGCCUGGUCACAGCUCUCCAGGCACCCCAGCUGGCCAGGCAGUGGGGAAGUGAUUGUGAUUUCAUGUCCUCCAGCCCCAGCUGGUGAAAAGGAAUCUUGGUACCUUGAGAAAUAAAUCACUUGGAGGCUCAAAAAAAGGGACAAUAUAUUCACAAAUCUCUUAGGAGAAUGCAGGGAGCCAAGAGAAGGGACAGAACUGAAAAGACCCUGCCCCGCUCAAAGGAGGGAGCCCAGAAUUGGCUCUGAGUCAAAACCCGAAGAAGGAAUCCAUGCGGAGAGAGUGAGUUGGAAGAGUGAGAAAAUAGCCCCAGGAGAUUAAAAUGGGGUUAAUUGUAAGAAUACAAGCGGAACCUUAAGAGGAAGUUUAUGGAAACCCAAGAAGUAGAGCACUACUUCAGCAUGCCUCACAGGAACCGGAAUGGAGAACUAUAAAGGUACUCAGGAACUAAGCCUUCCACCUCCCCCUGUCCCUCCUCUUCCCUCCCUUCACCACUCUCC